AUGGGCAAGUUUGACGACAACGAGAGGAUAAUCCUCAACGUCGGGGGAACCAGGCACGAGACCUACAAAACCACCCUGAAGACCCUUCCGGGCACGCGCCUGGCCCUGCUCGCCUCGGACUCGGACAUCGACUCCGUGCUGGAUCAGCUUCAACAAGUCCCCGGCUUCAUCGAGUUCAACGCGCGGACCAACGAGUACUUCUUCGACCGCCACCCGGGCGUCUUCGCCUACGUGUUGAACUAUUACCGAACCGGGAAGCUCCACUGCCCGGCGGACGUGUGCGGACCGUUGUUCGAAGAGGAGCUCUCUUUUUGGGGCAUCGAUGAGACGGACGUGGAGCCCUGCUGUUGGAUGACCUACCGGCAGCACCGGGACGCGGAGGAGGCUCUGGACGUGUUCGAGCUCAACGUGGACAACGGGGACGAGGACGACGACGUAGGGAAGAGACUCGGCAUCGAAGACGUGGCCGCCGACGGAAACGUCAGCCAGUGGAGGAAGUGGCAGCCGGUGAUCUGGAAUCUGUUUGAGGACCCCUACUCCUCCCGGGCGGCUCGGUUUAUUGCCUUUGCAUCUUUGUUCUUCAUCCUGGUUUCCAUCACCACUUUCUGCCUGGAGACUCAUGAAGCUUUCAACAAAAUCAUCAACAAAACUGAAACACGGAAUAGCAGCGGGCCUGACUCAGGUCCUCAGUAUGAAAUAGAAACGGAUCCUGCGCUCACAUAUGUGGAGGGUGUCUGUGUCUUCUGGUUUACGAUUGAAUUCCUCGUGCGUGUGACGUUUUGCCCGGUCAAGUUGGAGUUUGUUAAAAGUGUUCUCAAUAUCAUCGACUUUGUGGCCAUCUUGCCCUUCUACUUAGAGGUUGGGCUGAGUGGCCUUUCUUCAAAGGCUGCCAAGGAUGUGUUGGGUUUCCUCAGAGUGGUGCGUUUUGUACGCAUCCUCCGUAUCUUCAAGCUAACACGUCAUUUCGUAGGGCUGAGGGUGCUUGGUCAUACUCUGCGGGCCAGCACCAAUGAAUUCCUGCUGCUAAUCAUCUUCCUGGCAUUGGGAGUGUUAAUCUUUGCCACCAUGAUAUAUUACGCUGAGAGAAUUGGUGCCAAGCCUAAUGACCCUACAGCUGCCCUCCACACAAAGUUCAAGAACAUCCCCAUUGGAUUUUGGUGGGCUGUGGUAACCAUGACAACACUAGGCUAUGGUGACAUGUAUCCAGAGACCUGGUCAGGCAUGGUGGUGGGAGCGUUGUGUGCUUUAGCUGGUGUACUAACGAUAGCCAUGCCUGUGCCCGUUAUUGUCAAUAACUUUGGAAUGUACUACUCUCUGGCCAUGGCCAAGCAAAAGCUGCCUAAGAAGAGGAAGAAACACAUCCCUCAGGCAGUGCAAGGAGGUUCCCCGACCUACUACAAAGCGGAUCUCAACGCCACCUGCAACAGCACCCAAGGUGACCUGUGCCACGUCAAAGGGAGCAGGGUACUAGAACACAACUGUUCAGUUUUGUCAGCGGACUGCAGUGGGGGCAGUGACCUCAGCUUGUCUCAAGAGGAGCGGGUGCCCAUGCGCAGGUCCAGCACCAUAGAACAGGACCGCCGGAGUGGGGGCACAUGUUUCCUCCUUGCUGCUAGUGACUACACCUGCCCUGCAGAUGGAGGGAUAAGAAAAUCAGGUAACUGCAAGUGCUAUGAGAAAUCCCGGAGUUUAAACAACAUAGCAGGCACUGUCGGUAACACCCUGAGGUUGUCUCCUGUGACCUCGCCCUAUGGAUCACCCUGCCCCCUGCGCCGCUCUCGUUCCCCUAUCCCAUCCAUCCUGUGAAACAUCCAGUUCUUGGCUGCUUCGGCCCCAAACCACGCCAUCACAAGCCCUGACAGAACACCCAGCUUUGGCGUGAACUCUACUCUUGAUGUGGCUAAAUGAUAAGUAGCUCACGUUGCACCAAUCUGUACAAGUUGUUGUCAUACUGAUGAAGGUACAUGUGCUUAGCUAACAACCCUAACUCGAUUGUUCUGCUGUGAGUUCUCUUUGGUUUGAUAUUGUACUUUGAGACUUGCAAUAAAAAAAAAACAGGUGGCUUCAUAAUUAGCAGCCAUAUACAUUCAAUUCAUAUGAAUAUUCAGGGAUAUUGUAUGUUUAGAAACCAUGAAAAUGAUGUGCUUCCACAAAGAAAGAAUAAAGAAAGAGUGAGAGAUGUCAGGUACUGUUAACUACAUACGACUGUGACUUUAUGUGAAGGUCUGUUUCACGGGGACAUGGAUGGAGGACUGAUCUGUCAGAACUUAACUUUCAGCUCACAAAAGCACACGUACAGUCUUGUCUCUUUUCACCAGCGGCUGAGCCUGCUCAUGUGUAUGCACGGAUCAUUGGGUAGCCAUCUUUGGUGAACAAUGUGGCAUGGAAAAGGAGACAGACAUGAAUUUUUAUUCAAAGUUUUGAUCAUUCAAAUGGGUUUAUGUUUUUUUUUUCUUCGCCAACAAAGCUGUUGUGUUUUUGGUUGUUUGCUAACAGAUAACUGCAAAGAGGUGGUCUUUACUGGUUUCACACAAGCAGAGAGCAGCGUUCUAUCUUAAUGGCUUGAAGGAAGGAACGGCGGAGGCAGAAAGUGGAGGAACCAUUUUGGAGCCAUAACGCCACCCCCAAAGGACAAUUUGGAGGAGGCCGUGCAGAAACUGAUGACUCAAAGCCUCCCAGCUGGAGCUUCAGCCAGCUUGGGAGCAACUUAAUGGUCCUUAAGAAUUCUGGGAAGACUUUCACACUUUCCUGAGUUCUCCUUUCUUUUGUCUGUUCCUGUUUUGGAACUGGAUGAGAAAAAAACAGGACAAGAAACUGUCUGUGAUGAACGUCGCUCUUGUAAAUACAAAAGAAAAAAUUACAGCACAACUGGGCCAGGCUGCUCUGUUCACACAUCUGUCUUUUGAUGGCAAGUCAGGUAUCAAGAUGGUUGGUUGCACCGUGACACUUAAUCACUUCUCUUGCUGUGGUGUCUCCUCUCGCAAUAAGUGUUUCAAGAUGUAACAGUUGAGGCACUUUGUGUUUUAAAAAUGGAGUCAAUUCAUAUAGAAAGCUGCUUAUGGUUUAAACAGUGUAGAGACGAGAUGAAUAAAUCUGACACCAUGGACUAAUGCCUUUGUUUUUAUUGGUAACUUCAGUAGGUUAUUUGCUCUAAAUGUGUGUGGGUGUGUGUGUGUGUGUCCUAAAACUGCAGGUUGAGAUCUGUAGUUUGAAAGACCGGGUCAUGGACCUUUGAGUGGAGCUGAUGCUGAAUCUUCCAGUUAGUUUUAGCACAAACCUGAAUAAGACAGAACCCCCCACCCACCCGUGUUGCAGCUGCCACUGCAGAAGUCCCUUUCCUCGUUCAUUUACCAUGCAACUUACCCUCGAUAGUGCUGCAGUUUUGUUCUCUUUGCAAACCAAACUAUUCUUGCCAGAAUAAUCCUCAUAAGUCCUGGUGGCUAAAAAGAACCACACACACACACAACUGCAUGACUUGAUUCUUCCAAACCUUUUUUCCCCAUGCGGGAAUGGAGCAAAAGUGUAGCAGAAAUUAAUCAAGUCUUACAGUAGGACUUCUGCAGCGGCUACACCUGCACAGUAGCAACCCCUCAAACCCAAACAAUCAAAUCGGAUUUGCAAUAAGCACCCGAAAACAAAAUGCACCGAUUCACACUGUGAUUUCAGCAGCCCGUUUAAAACAAAACAAACAAACAAAAAGGGCAGAAGAAAAAGCUGCUGGGCAGGACUCACAAGUGGCACAACUCAUGUGGCAUGUUGGUAGCGACCUGAACAGUUUUAGGCUGGCUGUUCACCCUGUACCCACAAUCCUCUCUGUGUAGUAAACAUGCUGCUUUACUCUUUUGAUUUGUCAAAGAGAAACUUGUUCUUGUGUAUUUCUAGGCUGAUGUUGUAAGUAGCAAGCAAAAAGGUGUUUAUUUUUUUGAAUCCAGAAAUGUAUUUUUGUGUCUUUCUGUAAAACCCAUGGUAGUCUGAUGCUGUGCUUCUCCACCGUGUCUUCGAGCUGUCAGGCUUUUGAUCCCAGAUUAUGUUUUGUAUGUUUUACUGUGGGGAAAAUUCUAGUUUUAACUGUAUAUCUGUGGAGCCUUUUGUUGUCAUUUUAAAGUGCAUGCUGACAAAAAAAAAACACAUUAUGUCAAACUGUAAAAUAUAAUGACCUGUUGUAUAUCACACUAUGUAUAGAGUCAAGGUAAAUGCUAUGUGAGAGUUUCACAUAAACUAUUUAUCUUUUA
Non-coding RNA from Nothobranchius furzeri (turquoise killifish), 4232 nucleotides. The record is from RefSeq and is a predicted model, not a curated record. NCBI's taxonomy places the organism in Eukaryota, Metazoa, Chordata, Actinopteri, Cyprinodontiformes, Nothobranchiidae.